Molecule: long non-coding RNA, 244 nt
Organism: Pectinophora gossypiella (pink bollworm)
Lineage: Eukaryota; Metazoa; Arthropoda; Insecta; Lepidoptera; Gelechiidae
Exons: 3
Source: RefSeq, a predicted model, not a curated record
AUACGUCCCACUGCUGGGCACAGGCCUCCCCUCAAUCAACCGGAGGGGGUAUGGAGCAUACUCCACCACGCUGCUCCACUGGCUUAACGUGCCCUCCGAAGCACGGAAUCAUCUUACUUUUUCAGACAAUCAGGUGAUUCAAGCCUGAAAAGUCCUUACCAAACAAAGGACAGUCUCACAAAGUGAUUUCGACCAUGUCCCCAUCGGGAAUCGAACCCGGACCUCCAGAUCGUGAGCCUGACGC